RNAcentral lists this ribosomal RNA (253 nucleotides) under uncultured bacterium. Its description in RNAcentral is "partial 16S ribosomal RNA". It matches the Rfam family "Bacterial small subunit ribosomal RNA", at positions 524 to 776 of the family's 1533-position model. The record is from RNAcentral.
UACGUAGGGGGCAGGCGUUAUCCGGAUUUACUGGGUGUAAAGGGAGCGUAGACGGUAAUGUAAGUCUGGAGUGAAAGGCGGGGGCCCAACCCCCGGACUGCUCUGGAAACUAUGUUACUAGAGUGCAGGAGAGGUAAGCGGAAUUCCUAGUGUAGCGGUGAAAUGCGUAGAUAUUAGGAGGAACACCAGUGGCGAAGGCGGCUUACUGGACUGUAACUGACGUUGAGGCUCGAAAGCGUGGGUAGCAAACAGG